GCAGAGACGGCUCAGAGGGUUGGCAGGCAGCGAGGCCCCCCCCGCGGCCUGGGGACCGGGAGAGAGACCGGGAGACCGAGAGACACCGAGCGAAUGCGGCGCAUGGGAGAAACUAUCCGCCGAAGCCGGGAGAGGGGGGGAAGCGCGAGACUGAGCUGCUCACGCGCCGUGACUCCGCCCUUCUUUUCACUCUCUCCUCCCUGCCUCUCCCAGUUUUGGAUGACAUAUUUGGAAGUCUUGCUGGGAUUUCAAAGUCUGCAGGACUUUGUGUAGACUGCAGGAAUUUGUUGUGUUUCAAUCCAGAUUCAAUUCAGCCAUCUUGGAGGACUCAUUCUAAACCCCUGGAGCCCAGCCAUCCCAUGUCCCAGUGGUUUCACACUAUAGCUAGAAUCUGGAGAUGGAGUCUACAGAAGACACUGGUGCAAGCACACCAUGCACCAGAUGGGAAGGACCUCAACUCUUAGAAGACUCCAAAUGUGGCUAAGUAUAUUCCUUGUUCUCCCUUACAUCAUCCAUUACAUGUUCCUCAGUACAUGUUCCUGGGACUUGGCCCUGCUGUUUUCUUUUUGCAUGGUCUUCUCUCAGAGAAAUCUCUUGGUACCCACCCAAAGCAAGAUCCCUACUUAAAGACUGGCAAAUACUUCAAUCCAAGAACUAGAAACAUCCGAAAGAAAAACAACUAGUUCUCACAUCUAACUAGAGUAGGAAAGUUUCAAAUCAGUUAUGUUUUAUUUUGUUACAAGAACUAAUAAAACUUAAUCUCUAUUAAUUGGGAGAUCCA
This 781-nucleotide long non-coding RNA is filed under the name Monodelphis domestica (gray short-tailed opossum). RNAcentral's name for it is "lncRNA (ENSMODG00000050588.1)". Lineage: Eukaryota; Metazoa; Chordata; Mammalia; Didelphimorphia; Didelphidae. The record is from RNAcentral.